GGAUACGCUACGGCGUGCUCACACAUUUCAAGUCGAACGGAAAAGAGUACAUCUUUUCAGUGGCGGACGGGUGAGUAUGACGAAUUUGCCCUUAUGGCAGAGGACUACAAUUAGAACACUAAUUGCUAAAACUCUAUAUGUUGGAAACAAUGAAAAAAGAAAUAUGCCUAAGGAGAAGCUCACAUUUGAUUGGCUAGUUGGUAGGGUAAGAGCCUACCAAGGACGACGAUCAAUAGUUGGUCUGAGAGGACGAUCAGCCACACUGGAACUGAGACACGGUCCAGACUCCUACGGGAGGCAGCAGUGAGGAAUAUUCCGCAAUGGGCGAAAGCCUGACGGAGCAACGCCGAGUGAGGGAUGAAGGCCUACGGGUUGUAAACCUCAUUUAACCAACGGAGGAAGAUCUGACACGUUACUUGGAGAAUAAGCAUCAGGCAUAACCCAGUGACAACAGCAACAGAUAAUAAAAGGGAUGCAAAGUGUCAUCCGGAU
Molecule: ribosomal RNA, 492 nt
Filed under: uncultured bacterium
Lineage: Bacteria
Description: bacterial SSU rRNA
Rfam family: Bacterial small subunit ribosomal RNA
Source: RNAcentral